GUGCUCAUUUCAGCAGCACAUAUACUAAAGUUGGAAUGAUACAGAGAAGAUUAGCAUGGCCCCUGCGAUACAGAGAAGAUUAGCAUGGCCCCUGUGCAAGGAUGACAUGCAAAUUUGUGAAGCGCUCCAUAAAAAA
Callithrix jacchus (white-tufted-ear marmoset) is the source of this 136-nucleotide small nuclear RNA. The record is from Ensembl. NCBI's taxonomy places the organism in Eukaryota, Metazoa, Chordata, Mammalia, Primates, Cebidae.